AGUGAACGCUGGCGGCAGGCCUAAUACAUGCAAGUCGAACGGCAGCACAGCAGAGCUUGCUCUGUGGGUGGCGAGUGGCGGACGGGUGAGGAAUACGUGGGAAUCUGCCCAGUCGUGGGGGAUAACGUAGGGAAACUUACGCUAAUACCGCAUGCGCCCUUCGGGGGAAAGCCGGGGACCUUCGGGCCUGGCGCGAUUGGAUGAGCCCACGUCGGAUUAGCUAGUUGGCGGGGUAAAGGCCCACCAAGGCGACGAUCCGUAGCUGGUCUGAGAGGAUGAUCAGCCACACUGGAACUGAGACACGGUCCAGACUCCUACGGGAGGCAGCAGUGGGGAAUAUUGCACAAUGGGCGAAAGCCUGAUGCAGCGACGCCGCGUGAGGGAUGAAGGCCUUCGGGUUGUAAACCUCUUUCAGCAGGGAAGAAGCGAAAGUGACGGUACCUGCAGAAGAAGCACCGGCUAACUACGUG
This 470-nucleotide ribosomal RNA is filed under the name uncultured bacterium. Its description in RNAcentral is "bacterial SSU rRNA". It matches the Rfam family "Bacterial small subunit ribosomal RNA", at positions 30 to 507 of the family's 1533-position model. The record is from RNAcentral.